RNAcentral lists this ribosomal RNA (447 nucleotides) under uncultured bacterium. RNAcentral's name for it is "partial 16S ribosomal RNA". It matches the Rfam family "Bacterial small subunit ribosomal RNA", at positions 29 to 523 of the family's 1533-position model. The record is from RNAcentral.
AGCGAACGCUGGCGGCAGGCUUAACACAUGCAAGUCGAACGGUCCUUCGGGAUAGUGGCGGACGGGUGAGUAACACGUGGGAACGUACCCUUAGGUUCGGGACAACACAGGGAAACUUGUGCUAAUACCGGAUGAGCCCUUCGGGGGAAAGAUUUAUCGCCUUUGGAGCGGCCCGCGUCUGAUUAGCUUGUUGGUGAGGUAAUGGCUCACCAAGGCUACGAUCAGUAGCUGGUCUGAGAGGAUGGCCAGCCACACUGGGACUGGGACACGGCCCAGACUCCUACGGGAGGCAGCAGUGGGGAAUCUUGCGCAAUGGGCGAAAGCCUGACGCAGCCAUGCCGCGUGGAUGAUGAAGGUCUUAGGAUUGUAAAAUCCUUUCACCGGGGACGAUAAUGACGGUACCCGGAGAAGAAGCCCCGGCUAACUUCGUGCUAGCAGCCGCCGUAA